Long non-coding RNA from Astatotilapia calliptera (eastern happy), 2558 nucleotides. The record is from Ensembl. Lineage: Eukaryota; Metazoa; Chordata; Actinopteri; Cichliformes; Cichlidae.
CAUGAGUUAUUGUGUAUUCAAUCAGACCACAAUCUUUUAACCAAGUGGCAAAAUAUUUGCUCUUAUUUUAUUCUCUUUAGGAAAAGCAGUAAAUAUUUUUAAUGAUAUGACAACAACAACAACAGCAUUUUUGUGACCUGUCAGGUAUAAUAAUUAACUUCAUGCAUAGCAUAGAUUCAGAGAUCUUAAUAGGUAUGUUAUUCAAAACAAGCACCCAGGAAAUAAUGGUAAAGCAUCCAGUGCACAUGCAUUUACACUUUGCCUUGAGUGUAAAUGCAUGUAAACUGCAGCAAUUCAUCUCUCGUUUUCAUUAUUCAAGUAUUAUUUCUAUACAGUUAAUAUACAGUGACAAGCUCACUGCACAGGAGUAUUUAAAAAAGAAUUCAAUAUGCUGAACUUGCCAGCUGUGAAGCUUUGUUUAUUUGCAGUAUUCCUGAAAUUAUUUUUGUUAAAUAUAUGGAAAAAGCUAGAAAUUCUUAUUGUAAAAAGAAAGAAAAUUACAGUAUUUGACGUGUUUUUUUAAUGUUAUCACAUGUCAUUAAAGACAGUUGGUCAGCCUCAUUAAAGUCAACAUUUAAAGAUGGAUAAUUUAGAUAAGGUAAAGAAAAAAACAGAUAAUAAUAAAGUAAGACAAUGAGUACUUACAGUUUUUGCCCGUUGCUUGAACACUAUAAACCCAUGCUUAGACUAAAGUAACACAACUUGAAGCUUUUGUUACCAUACCUCAAACACAUGUACCCAUACCUUAAACAAAAGCGCUCCUUUGCACCCUAGUUGCAAUUAUGCAACACACUUACUCCUUUAUGCAACACACAUGGUCCUGCAUACUACACUCCAUUUCAUACAUAAGACACUUUGUUCACAAAAUUAAAUUUCAGGGUGCCAUUUGGAAAACACAUGUAUCCAAAAUACAAAACACAUCGGGUAAUUGCAACCACUCAAAUACACACCUGAAGGACCUUACUUGCAAAACUGAACACCAAUUAGCCAACUACAAAAAGCCCUCAGUUUAGCCAAUUCAAGAACUUUGCAAGCAUGGAGCAAGAGGAAGAGGAGGAGGAGGAGGUCGAAGAGGCCAUGCACAGACCCAUAUUGCUGAUGAUAUAAGAGCAACUUUGGUGUCAUCAACCAGGGCCUGACUAUGAGGGAAGCUGGGCAGAGAGUCCACCCACAUCUAAGCCGCUUCACAGUGGCAUCUGUAAUAAGAACAUUCCGAAAACAGGUCUGUCUUCACCUCUCUACCUUCUACUCUACUCUACAGUAUAUCACAUUACCAUAUCAAGUGUACAGGGUAUUGCAAGGUGCUAAUGCUCCUUUUGCAGCCAAAGUGGUAGUUUCUGUGAAACAUACCAUGAUUACUUAUAUUGAAGUACAGUGUUGUACAGUGGAUGAUACAGUAUAUACAGUAAAGUACUGUAAGAAAAAUAAGCAAAGCGAUGACAAUAUGUGGUUGUAUUCCUCUAGAAUGACUCGAAGACCUUCUGGGGGAGGACGCCAACGCAUGUUCACACAACAGCAGGAACUUGCUGUUGAGGACCUAGUGAGGGCAGACAAUGCCAUCCGUCUCCACCAGCUACGAAAGCAAAUACUUGCAGACAGGCAAGUGUUCAACAACAUAAACCAUCAUCACCAUGAAGCAGCUCUACAGAGUCCCAUUUGAGAGGAACAGUGACAGGGUCAAAGGACUUCGAGCUGAAUAUGUACGGAGAAUCUUGGCCAUGGAUGGAGCUGCACAGCCUCAUGAAUUCAUUUUCAUUGAUGAAGCUGGAUUUGACCUGUGCAGAACAAGAUGACGGGGUCGUACUGUAAUUGGCCAAAGGGCAAUUGGGGUAGCGCGGGGGAAAUAUCACAUUGUGUGCCGCCAUAAGCCUUCGAGGGCUUCUGCAUCAUCAUACAAAACUAGGUCCAUACAAUAGCCAACAUAUACUCACAUUUCUAAAUGCUCUCCAUGAUAUAGUUGUACAGAACAGAGCAGAUCAGCCCAUGUUUGUAGUGAUAUGGGAUAAUGUCAGUUUCCAUCGGGCUGCUCUGGUCCAGGCCUGGUUCUCCAACCACAACCAACUUGAAGUGGUAUACUUGCCCCCUUACUCACCAUUUUUAAACCCUAUAGAGGAAUUUUUUUUGGCUUGGAGAUGGCGUGUAUAUGACCGCCAACCACAUGCCCGCAUGCCUCUUCUGCAGGCAAUGGAACAGGCCUGCGGCGACAUUCAGGUGACAGCAAUCCAUGGAUGGUUUCGACAUGCAAGAGGAUAUUUUCCCCGGUGCCUAGCAGGAGAAGACAUUGCUUGCGAUGUCGAUGAGGUCCUGUGGCCAGACCCCAAAAGACGGCGGGAUCCAUGAGCCCACGUAUGCACAAUUGUCAUGAUUUUUUGUGUUCACAGUAUGGUGUUUUUUCUAUUACUGUAUUGUGUUUGUUUGUUUGUUUUUGCUUUAUCUGAAUUCAUGGUACUGCAAUGUACAGUGCUGCAAUGUACAAUAUUGAGUCCUAUUGGCUUUUUUGGUUGUUUGAAAAUGUGUCUCCUGAAAAUAUGCCUUCUGAAUAAACAAUGAACAUCAAA